CUUCAGUCUCUGUCAUACCAGAAUCCCACAGAAGAAGAUCUAUCUCAUCCCCGUAUAUCGAACCCGAUCCCAUUCCCGCCUGGAGUGUGCCUAAUCCACCUUGACCAACAUUUCUGGUAACGAGUUUUACGCCUAGUCGGGCGAAGAUUGG
This 151-nucleotide non-coding RNA is filed under the name Pseudo-nitzschia australis. The record is from RNAcentral. Lineage: Eukaryota; Bacillariophyta; Bacillariophyceae; Bacillariales; Bacillariaceae.